GUUUCUUGGAGCGGGAGUGGGGAAAUAUUCGGUCGGGCGGAGCGCUGAGGUUUGGGUGGGUGGUGGUCGUCGAAAGGAGAGAGCUCGAUCAAGCUAGCUUAGGAAGGCAGCUCAAGCACAAAGGCAAAGCACACAAAUCUGGUUCAAAAGGUUACCGAGGGGAGCCACUGCGACAACGGGGGCGCCGGCGGCGGCGGCGGGGUCCGGAGCAGCAGAGGAAGCCGCUCUACAACUAGCUGAAGCACGGGCUGCAACGGCCGCAGAGCGAGCGGCUCAGGCCGCCGAAACAGUUCCGCGGGCCUCCGCGCGGGCGGUUGCAGCGGACGCGGUAGAGGUUCGAGCCGCCGAGGAGGCGGAAGUAGCCUUUCAAACCGCUGCUGCUCAAGCCGGUGUACGACCACCUCUAGGAUUUCGUCUUGCCGCACUUACGGCUCCCGACGGACAAGCUGGUCGUGCGGGCGUGACGGGACCGGAAGCAGUGCGAGUUCAGGUUGCCGCUCGCGCUCAAGUACAAGAUGGCGUUGGGCAGCCGGCUGUACGAGGAGUGGCUCCGGCUCGACUUGGACCUGGACUAGGCGGCGCGGGCGUAGAAGGUGAUGCCGAGGUAGAGCGAGUAGUGGCUCGGGACGGCGAGCCGCGUGCAGCGACGGUACGCGCGGCGGUUCAGUUGGCCGUAGGAGACGAGCAUGCUGGGAUUGCAUGCGGACGGCGAGACCGGGAGACGGGUCCGGCGGGCGCUGCCAUAGUACUCGUAGACCUUCCUCCGGCUGAAGUAGUUCCAUUCGCUGCUACUCCACCGGAAGGAGUGGGUCCCGCUGCGGUGGCUGCUCUUCUUGCACAACAGGGAGACCAAGCUCCCUGAGUUCGACGAGUAGCAGUGGCUGCCGCUCUUCCCCACGUCCAUGAAGUGGUUCCUGAAGUUCCCGAGGCACGGGCCGAUGAGACAGUUGUGGCAGCUGUGGUGGCCGCGGCCCCUGCGGAAGCAGCCCAGGGAGGAGCAGUCGCAGAGGUUCCUGCUGAGGUAGAAGAUGUUACUCCGGUUCGACUCCCUCCACGACGUCAAGAGCUUGCGAACGCCGCGGUAGACGUGGUGGUUCUUCCCUCGGUAGGGCCGCGACGGGUGGUGGCGGUGGCGGGACCUCGAGUAGUCGUUCCCGUCGUUGAUCUCUGCGUAACACAGCGCGGCGGUCAGCCCCAACUUAGAAUCCCCUCAAAUCGACGUGAAAAUAAUAAUCCCUACUCAGCUCAAAUCAAGCACACAGUUCACGCACUGGAGCACCCGCGAAUUAUUUUUCGUUCGUACACACCACUAAAACCAACGCCAGAAACACAUUCCUCCGAUGACUAACAACAUCGGAAGUGGGUUUUGAGUAAAUAGCUUCAGAAAUUACUUACCUGUUCAAAUAG
This 1407-nucleotide ribosomal RNA is filed under the name Triticum aestivum (bread wheat). RNAcentral describes it as "partial small subunit ribosomal RNA". Lineage: Eukaryota; Viridiplantae; Streptophyta; Magnoliopsida; Poales; Poaceae. The record is from RNAcentral.